CACUGUGUAUGACACAGCAUAAUUAUAUUUACCUGUUUACAGUUGUACAGAUAAAUAUUGCCUCCCCAAGCCUGUCCCAGUGCAAUAAGGCCCAGGCUUGGCUGCAGUUCCACCCACGAGACAAACACAGCAGUGGCAUGUCACUGCUUGUCCCUGUGCUGCCAGCCUGGAGGGUUACACAAAUAGACACAUGGGAUUCAGCUUUCAGAUCUGUGCCGCCACGAUAAACAGGCUUGGGCAGGUCUCCCUCGGAAGGUCUGGGUGACCCAGAGGAACGUGUGACAGCUCCCCGUGCUCUGCUGGAAGGAGACGUCCGAAGGGCAUUUCAAAAAGCCACCCUGGGCUGAAAUCACAGGUUUGUGCCUGCGUGUUGUGCCAGUGAAAGCAACAGCUAAUAACUAGGUCUGCUCUAAAGCUCCUUGUCUGCAUCUCUCCGCUCUGCCUCCUGCCCGGGAAUGUUUUGGAUCCCAUCCAAGCUGCAGUGCAGAGAGGGAGCUCUUUGUUCCCCUCCUCUCUGCUGCCUCUGAGCACAUUUAGCUUGUGCUUUCUGGGGCAAGGUUUUCCAGCACUGUUGGAAAUGAUAUAACUUUUAAAAGUUUUUAUGGAAGUACCCUGGAAAACAGGCAGACAGAAGAAAUAAGCCCUAAAACGCCGUUAAUCACUGUUAAUGUGUUCAACAGAACCUCUGUAACAGUGAACAAAAACAAACAUUGUCAAGGCCGUUCUGAACAGCCCAGGGGUGUCACCUCCCUGCAUUUUGUUUUCAGAUCCAGCUUGGGUCCUUUGAUGGUGAGGAAAACGUCCAGAAUGCUUCCCCCUCCACCACUGGGAGACUAAAAUCCAAGCACGGACAUUUUCCCCCCCUGAACAAACCACGUACUUUUAACCACCUCAGGUUUUUUAAGUAUUCUGUCAGCUAUACACAACUCCUAGUUCCCUGCUUAUUAGAUAAAAAAAACAUCCACAGUUCCUAAUUCUCUUUCACCCACAAACAUGCGGCUGCUUUCAGUGCUGCUUUGGGAAUAAAAAUGCUCUUACAGGCAGAAUUUCAAUGCUGGCUGUGAGCCAGGGCUGCAGAGCUGAGUCAUUGUUAUACAAGCAGAGCUGAGAUGCACAGAAAAGCCCCUUUGUACUUUAAAACUGAACACGUCAGCUGCUGCUGGCCUUUGAGCAUCACGAGACACCUACACAGAACCAACUGUAAUUUACUGGACUUUUCCUCUUGUCCAUCCCAUCAUCUGUGUGAAUAAUUCUUCCUUUUGCAUUUUGCCUCUCAAGCUUAACAGCAAAUGCAUUUUUCAUCAAGCUGUUGGCCUCUCCUAAAACCUGGCAAGCAUUGCAUCAGCUUUGGAAGCAGUGAAAUGAGAAGUGUUAACACUGGGCCCUGGGAAGGUGCUGCCCAGGUACACUGACAGUACAAUACUGGACCACUGAAAUUUAGGGCUUUCAAACACCUGUGACAUUUAUCAUCAUCCAGAGUUCCACUGUAAAGCUCUUGAAUUGAUUUUUAUGUGAGACUCAGUUUUGUGUUCUGAGUCCUUUGUGAUAAAAUAUGAAACGAAUGAAAAAAGAGAAACAAUUUCUUUACUAAGGCCUUAGGAAACCAAGCUGCAUUUUGCACUUC
Long non-coding RNA from Corvus hawaiiensis (hawaiian crow), 1624 nucleotides. RefSeq lists it as uncharacterized. Lineage: Eukaryota; Metazoa; Chordata; Aves; Passeriformes; Corvidae. The record is from RefSeq and is a predicted model, not a curated record. The transcript has 2 exons.